Molecule: long non-coding RNA, 296 nt
Filed under: Bos taurus (domestic cattle)
Lineage: Eukaryota; Metazoa; Chordata; Mammalia; Artiodactyla; Bovidae
Description: long non-coding RNA NONBTAT004778
Source: RNAcentral
GAGCUUCAUCCCCGGGAAACUAGAGGAAAGCCAGCCUUACAGUCAUUAAGCUCUUCAAAGGAUGGAUGUUUAUACAGUACAAAGGAGAAGAUGGAGAACAAAAGAGCCUUUCUUGGGGAAGCAACUCAGAGAGCUCUUUAAAUUCUGGUUAAUAAAAAUAAGGACUCAGACAAAGAAGAGUGAUCGAAACAGAAGCAAAUAAACUCAAACCUAAUAAGGAGGAGGACCCCAAGUUUCUUAAUUUAAGGCUGGGCCUACCUGUAGUCCAGUUACUCACUAACGCCUUCAAUUGCACC